CAGAGGAUCACACUUUUCACUGUUUUCAUUCUUUGUCCUCUUCCCCAACAACAGGUGUCCAGCUACCAAUCAGCAUUGAACUGCUCUCCUUCUGGUAGCUGGUUCAGACUGUUGCAUCCAACCAGAAGCCUCUGCAACCUGGAUUGAAGCCAAAGGCAGACACCAGAAUCAGCAAAGAGACCCAGAAGUUCACAAGAGAGGAAAUCCAAGAAAUGAGCCAGCAAUAAAAUCAUCAGUUGUAUACUCACAAUUGCAAAGCAUGAGUAAUAGAAGAUCCUAAUGCAAGGAGGCAUAUUUGACUUCAUG
RNAcentral lists this long non-coding RNA (306 nucleotides) under Phascolarctos cinereus (koala). RNAcentral describes it as "lncRNA (ENSPCIG00000033978.1)". The record is from RNAcentral. Lineage: Eukaryota; Metazoa; Chordata; Mammalia; Diprotodontia; Phascolarctidae.